This 292-nucleotide ribosomal RNA is filed under the name uncultured Aquabacterium sp. Its description in RNAcentral is "partial 16S ribosomal RNA". It matches the Rfam family "Bacterial small subunit ribosomal RNA", at positions 505 to 796 of the family's 1533-position model. Lineage: Bacteria; Pseudomonadati; Pseudomonadota; Betaproteobacteria; Burkholderiales; Sphaerotilaceae. The record is from RNAcentral.
GUGUCAGCAGCCGCGGUAAUACGUAGGGUGCGAGCGUUAAUCGGAAUUACUGGGCGUAAAGCGUGCGCAGGCGGCUUUGCAAGACAGAGGUGAAAUCCCCGGGCUCAACCUGGGAACUGCCUUUGUGACUGCAAGGCUAGAGUACGGCAGAGGGGGAUGGAAUUCCGCGUGUAGCAGUGAAAUGCGUAGAUAUGCGGAGGAACACCAAUGGCGAAGGCAAUCCCCUGGGCCUGUACUGACGCUCAUGCACGAAAGCGUGGGGAGCAAACAGGAUUAGAUACCCUGGUAGUCC